UUUAUGGAGAGUUUGAUCCUGGCUCAGGAUGAACGCUGGCGGCGUGCCUAAUACAUGCAAGUCGAGCGAACAGACGAGGAGCUUGUUCCUCUGACGUUAGCGGCGGACGGGUGA
Molecule: ribosomal RNA, 114 nt
Filed under: Staphylococcus epidermidis
Lineage: Bacteria; Bacillati; Bacillota; Bacilli; Caryophanales; Staphylococcaceae
Description: partial 16S ribosomal RNA
Rfam family: Bacterial small subunit ribosomal RNA
Source: RNAcentral